Lonchura striata (white-rumped munia) is the source of this 1594-nucleotide long non-coding RNA. The record is from Ensembl. NCBI's taxonomy places the organism in Eukaryota, Metazoa, Chordata, Aves, Passeriformes, Estrildidae.
CUUCCCUCACUGCGGGAGCCUGACACCCCUUCUGUGAGCAGAGGCAGGUGUCCCAGUCAGCAGGGCUUCUGUUUUCCUGAGCUGGACAUGUCUGCCUGCUGUGGGCAAGCAUGUCAAAUCACACCUACCAUAUUGGCUUCCUGUCCCCAGAACAUCCGAUUUUUGCAGCUAAUGUGUGGGGGGUGUCUCCUCCUGCCAAUCCCCACCCCCAGCAGCAUCAGGUCUGUGCUGUUCGGGGUUUUGUUAAGCCGUUUAGUAUUAAUUGAUUUUUUUUUCCAUUUUUUCUUUCUUUCCCUGGGCGGGUCAAUAGCUGGAUGCUCAAGAGCAGAGGAUCUAUCAACUGCAGACCAAGCAGAGGGAGAGGCAGGCAGACCUGGAGCAGAAAUGCAGCCAGAGCAGCAGCUCAGCCAGGACCUGGGGGCCAGCUACCAGCUACGGAAAGGAGCUUGGAGCAGGAGUCUGGUUGGUGCAUCCAUGCUGGACUAUAGAGGCCACAGAUCCCACGGUGGUUCCAGGAACACUCUGCCAGCGUCAGCCACCUGCAGCUCAUGGGCUCAGGAAGCAAAAAUGGGGUCUUGCAUUCCAUCAAUGUGAGUGGAUAUUUUUCUCCCAUUAAAAUGUUUCAUUUAUUUUUGAAUGCAUAUGAGCUUUGGGGGUGUACCACACCCUGUGUGAAGCAGUCUGACACAGCACAAGAUUCAAAAAAAUAUCUGGCUUUUGCUUUUUUGUUAUUACCUGCAAAUUUAUGGGGUGCUGUCGGUUCUUACAUUGAAGGGCUAAUGAGAAAUCAUACUGCAGACAACCUCUAUUUGUGAAACUUGAUACUAUAGUCUUCUUCAGUCUAUUUUUUCUAGCCCAAAAAGACUAUCCAUUUUUAACUCACAUGGAGAAUACUCUGUAUUUGAUCAUCCUUGUUGGUCUUCUCUGAAACACUUCCAAAUCUUUUUCUUGAGGGAGGCAGACAGAGCUGCAUAUAGAAAUCACAGGGCAGCUUUCACUAUGAAUCUGUUCAUUGGCAGAACUAUGAUCUGCUCUCUAUUAUUUUCCUGAUAAUUGUUAACAGUCAGUUUGCCUUUUGGGCUGCUCCUGGGCACCAAACAAAUGUUUCCACAGAUCCAUCUCUCCAUCUUCAUCUGAUUUCAUUCUAGCACAGCCCCAAGCCUAAUUCCUGAGGAGGAACAGAGCUACAGCAGCUGGGACUGCAGUGAGAUCUUGUGAGAAAGACGGUGCAAAUGCCCCAGAUCUUCAGCAAGAUUAGGACCAUCUGGCUGAGUCAUACCUUGGAGACUGGGGACAGCUGCUAAACAUCUGGAAAAAAGAAGACAUUAUAUAAGGUCAGCAGACCUGGCCUCUUCCAGACACAUUUACCCUCGGGUGUUUGCUCACCUGAGGGGCUCAGUAAUGCUGUGGAAUGCCAAUGUAGCCAGAUGAAUCAGUGCUGGCUGAACUCCUAUCCAAGAGCACAAAUAGCAUCAUGUUCUUGUGAUCCUCCUUUGCAUUUCCUUCCUGCAGGUUCCCGGGGUUAGCAGGAAGGGAUUGGGCUGCCUGACCUCCAGUACCCACGGUCAUGAAAAUUUCCCCUUACUCUGAAACC